Molecule: long non-coding RNA, 481 nt
Filed under: Helianthus annuus (common sunflower)
Lineage: Eukaryota; Viridiplantae; Streptophyta; Magnoliopsida; Asterales; Asteraceae
Description: sRNA HanXRQr2_Chr14g0640931
Source: RNAcentral
UGAAGCGGUCUCAUUGCCACCAACCAAAGCCGCCUCUUUCAAACCCUAAUCCCCUGUUUCCUUUCAUAAGCAUGAGCUUCAUCAUGGUCAUCGUUUCUGGUCCUGUAUAUACACUUUCAUGAGGAGGUUAAGAAAAUAAGAACUAGGGUUUAUCUCCUUGAUUAAUGAGGAGGUUAAGAAAAUAAGAACUAGGGUUUAUCUCCUUGAUUAAUGUAAUGCUUUAUCUAUCUCAAGGUUUUGAUGCACAAUAUUAUGGAGAUCUGGUUUCAGUUUUGUUUAGUAAACCUUUAUGUCACAAUCUUAGGGCUGCAAACGAACCGAACUGAGCUGAGCAUCGAACUUGUUCAUGAACAUCGUUGCACAAACACAUAUCGAACUUAAAUUCCUGUUCGUGUUUGUUCAUUGAGGAAUUGAACUUGUUCACGAACACUAGCAAACACAUACGGUUAUUAAAAAAAAACCAACAUUCUUAAUCCCAAAU